GCCCAGCAGAGAGAAAUCCUUCUUCCUGCACAAGCUUUCCUUUAAUGAUGGCUAAUUAACCUGGUGCUAUGUUAAAAAUUUACUAUAGUUAUCAUGUCUGACUCAGUUCUUAUUCAUUGCUAUUCAAGAGCAUAACAGAGAUAACUUGCCUUAUUUUCAUCUGUGUUCAUGUAGUUCGGCUUGGGUAGAGGGUUAAACGAACUCCAAGACUUUAGUUCUCUUAGAUCAUGUACAGGAUGCUGAUAGUUUUACCAGAUUUGUCUGGAUCCCUCGUGCAGAGUCAGGACUUCCCUGUUCUUUAGAUCAGCGCUUUCCUGGCUGAGCUCCAGCUCAGCCUGCACGCUAAAAUGACAGCCUGUAUCUGGAAAGAAGCCAGUCAUGCCCACUCAGCACUCACAGGGGAAUCCUUCAUUCCAGGGAAAUUCGUACUGGGAAAGAAUGAAAAUAAAAACCAAACAUCUACCUGAUGCAAAAGUAAUA
This is a long non-coding RNA of Cygnus atratus (black swan), 480 nucleotides long. RefSeq lists it as uncharacterized. NCBI's taxonomy places the organism in Eukaryota, Metazoa, Chordata, Aves, Anseriformes, Anatidae. The record is from RefSeq and is a predicted model, not a curated record. The transcript has 3 exons.